This is a long non-coding RNA of Dermacentor albipictus, 4668 nucleotides long. RefSeq lists it as uncharacterized. The record is from RefSeq and is a predicted model, not a curated record. NCBI's taxonomy places the organism in Eukaryota, Metazoa, Arthropoda, Arachnida, Ixodida, Ixodidae.
GCGCUUGAAUCUACUGAUAUUCUUGCUUUUCUACUGAAACGAAACAACGCCUCCUCUAAAAAGAUGCCUGCCGCGUGCGCCGGAAACCUACGAGACGGUCAUUUGCGGAAUCGCCAGUUCACGGGAUUGGCCAGUCGUUUCAGCGGGUGCAAGAGAGAAAAUCUGGGGGCGUUUGCGCCUUAAAUUUCUCCCUUUACCUAGGUACCACGGAGGAGCAGUUUCUUUGCUCGUUCUGUCCCUAGGCGUGCCUUGGCUUGGCGGCAUUUUGCCAUGUGUCGGCUGGCGAUCCGUGCGUCGUGUACAAGUUUUCCUCGUGCGUCUCCUUGGGUGUUGCUGGCACAGUGCACUGGCGCGAACGAUUGUUGUCGUUUGGUCAGUGGUCUCCCGUGAAGAACCUGUCACCACAAAAGUGAAUUGACGUCAGUGCAAAGAUUUAAAGGAACUUGCAUGGCUUGUGUACAGGAUACAACAUUUCUUGGGAGUGUUCUCAGCCUAGGUUGUGAAAGACUGCUUUAAACUCAUGGGGACAACUGAGAGUGACAAGAGGCAUUAUUUUGUUGAGACUUUUCAAUCAUCAUGAUGUCGAUGGCACUGUCUACAAAAAUCACCACUGGAUUGCCCCUCUUCAGCGGGCAAGGCAGCAGCAGCACCAAUAGAUCGUGCUGUCGAGGACCGGAUUCGUCGACGCAGGGUCUGAGCAUGCGCUGCAUCAGGCCUAUCUACUGCUACCUCUGGCUGUCUGCCCUGCUGGCUUCAUCGGACGAAACAAGUCGCAGGAAGCUGUACCACGUGCACUGCACUGGGACCACCUGACCAGCACGGUGACGUCGACAGAGACACCAUGGCACCCGGAUAAAAGCAGCAGCCUUUUCGACGUUACCUUCAGUGGACUUGGAAGCACUGAACGAGUACGGAUGCUGAUCGAAUUUUUUCUGAUCGCACAGCGGUGGCAGCGAAACCCAGCCAAUAUGUCGAUGGCGUCCACGCUACUACCGCCCCCGAAGCCUAUGGAUCCGUCGCACGACCCUUGGAUUGCCUGGAAAACUUGGAAAAGUGAGUUUCUGCUGUUUUCCAUUGUUACGCAAUUGAACAAGCAGCCAAAAGACGUUCAAGCAGCCACGUUGCUAGUUACCAUAGGCGAAGAGGCUAGGAAGUCGUACAGUACCUUCAAGUUCGAUGAAGCGGAAGACAGGAAUGACGUUGAAGUUCUGAUUAAGAAAUUUGAGGAUCAUUACAAGCCUGCAACGAACUUAACAUUCCAAGAAUUCCGUUUCGGUUCAAGGAACCAAAAAGAAGGCGAGAUGUUUAACGAGUGGCUAACAGAACUGCGUGUGUUAGCGAAGAACUGUGAAUUUGGGGCCGCACCAGUGAUCCCGUGAUCUGUUACGUCACGUAGGCUUCACUAUAUAUGUAACUUGCGCAACCGCAAUAAAGUUGUUGUUCGCCCAGCUGCUGGCCUGGCUACAAAUACCAGAGAGGAUCAGGUAAAACUAAAUGAUUCGUUAGCUGCUGUACAAAAUUGGUGCAACAUUUGUGGUGUGACGAAGAAGAUCGGCAGGCUGAAAAGUCCCGUUGCCAUCGCAUGGCACGUACCCAGUUCGUUCGCUGGCUGCGCCCUACCUGCUGGUGCUGAGUUUGUCGCUGCUGCUCUACGAGCCGAAUAAACCCCCUUUACAAUUGGUGGAGGUGCUGGGUACGUGUCACGCGAUGGCAACGGGGCUUUUCAGCCUGCCGAUCUUCUUCGUCACAAUCACCUACUCACGUCUCCGCCAAUCUUGCGGCAUUUUGAUCCCAGCGCACCUACAGAACUUCACACUGACGCCAGUGGUGUCGGCCUUGGUGCCGUGCUCGCACAACGCAAGAACACUAAUGCCGAAUACGUAGUCACCUAUGCCAGUCGUGCCCUCACGAAACCUGAGGCCAAUUACUCAGUAACAGAAAAAGAGUGCCUGGCUAUCGUAUGGGCUCUUCAAAAAUUUCGUCCAUAUGUCUACGGUCGAUGCUUUGAUGUGGUGACGGAUUAUCACGCUCUUAGCUGGUUGUCCAACCUAAAAGACCCGUCGGGCCGCCUCGCUUGGUGGGCCCUCCGAAUCCAGGAAUAUGAUAUCCGUGUCGUUUAUCGCUCUUGACGCAAACACGCUGGCGCCGAUGCCCUCUCGCGCUUUCCAGUGACUUCAGACAGCAGCACUUCUACCGACAGACAUGACAUCUCACCACUUGACAUCCUGGACAUGGCAUCGGAGCAACAAAAAGACCCAUGGAUCGUCAUGGUGUUCGACUUUUUGUCAAAUCCUCCGGCAACUUCGGCACCUCGAGCGCUACGCCGACAGGUGCAGCAUUUCACAAUCCAGGAUGGACUUUUAUACCGCCGCAACUACCACAAUGAGGGCUGCAAAUGGCUUUUAGUAGUGCCUCGCCACCUACGACAAGAGUUCUGCUCCGCUUUUCAUUCUGACCCACAGUGUGGUCACGGCGGAGUGUCAAAAACUUGCACACGGCUUUGCCUACAAUAUUAUUAGCGAGGGAUGUACACCUUCGUCCACAAAUAUUUACGCUCCUGCAUUGCCUGCCAGCAAUGCCAAUGUGUCCCGCAUCUCUCCACCACAUCUCUCCAACCACUUCCCUGCCCAGCUCAGCCAUUUGACCGUGUCGGCAUUGAUAUCUAUGGGCCUCUUCCAUCUACUGGCGCGGGCAACCGAUGGAUUGUUGUCGCCGUAGAUCAUUUGACACGGUAUGCUGAAACCGCCGCCUUGCCUGCCGCAUCAGCAAAAAACAUCGCCUCGUUCAUUAUAAACAACUUCGUUCUCCGCCAUGGCACACCAUGUGAACUGUUGAGCGAUCGGGGCUGCGUAUUCCUCUCAGAUGUCCUGCAGUCACUCUUAUCUGAAUGCCAAAUUAUUCACCGCACUACUACUGCUUAUCAUCCACAGACCAAUGGCUUAACAGAACGAUUCAACAGAACUCUUGGUGACAUGCUAUCAAUUUAUGUUGCAUCUGACCACUCCAACUGGGACCUUGUACUUCCGUUCGUCACUUACGCAUAUAACACUGCCUCUCAAGCCACCACCGGAUUCUCACCAUUUUUUCUGCUUUACGGCCGGCCGCCAUCCCUCCAGCACCAUUGAUACAGUUCUCCCGUACCGGCUGGACCCUGCUGAAUGCUCACCUGUUUCUACGGUUGCUCAGCACGCCGAGAAAUGCCACCAACUGGCCCGUUCGUUGACGUCUGCUCAACAGUGCCGCCAAAAAGAAUGCCAUGACCUCAAUCCUCCCCCUCACCCCUUCCCCGUCGACUCACUCGUGUGGCUUUGGGUCCCGCCUGUUGCUGCUCCUGGCUUUUCGUCCAAGCUCCUCCCGAAGUACCACGGGCCCUACCGCGUAGUUGCACAAACAUCACCAAUGAACUACGUGGUCGAACCCGUAUCGCCAUCUUCCGAUCUGCGUCGUCGGGGGCGAGAGACUGUGCACAUUGACCGGCUGAAGCAGUAUUACGAUCCGCCCACCUCUUCCUAGGUUGCCAGGAUGGCUACUCUUCAAUUCCGGGGGGGAUUGUGACGAAGAAGAUCGGCAGGCUGAAAAGCCCCGUUGCCACCGCGUGGCACGUACCCAGUUCGUUCACUGGCUGCGCCCUACCUGCUGGUGCUGAGUUUGUCGCUGCUGCUCUACGAGCCGAAUAAACCCCCCUUACAGGGGGAUGAAACUGAAUGCAUCAAAAACUACCAGUAUCUCCUUCACUCACAAGAAAAAUGCGCUUCAGUUUACAUACACAAUAAACAAUAUAUCACUAAGAAAAUACGAGGAGGUCACAUAUCUCGGGGUCACUCCUACAAUGAAAUUAGAUUGGGAAACUCAUAUAAAUAAUAUGUAUGACAAGGCCCUAGGUAAACUACAUUUCUUGAGAAGAAAAGUUAGAAACACACCUCCUAGUGUUAAAUGCACACAGAACCCUCAUUAGACCCUCUUUAGAGUAUGCUGACAUUAUUUGGGCCCCACACCAGAAGUAUUUAACCGAGAAACUAGAACGCAUAAAGAACUUAGCAUUGAGAUUUAUAUAUUCACAAUAUUCACGUCAAACGAGCAUUACAAACCUGCGCGUCAAGGCUAACGUUCAAUCACUGGCUCAACGUAGAAUGAUUUCCAGAUUAAAAUUUCUAUGCUUACUUUAUCACGGCUCCUAUUGAGUACCACAAGUAACAUACAUUCAAGCGCCAUUCAGACUUUCUGCCUGAACCAACCAUAAUAAAUCAAUACGACACCAUCCCAGCCAUAAUAACACUCGCAAGUACUCUUUAUUCCCACACGCCAUUUCCCAUUGGAACAUACUACCCUCUAGAGCCGUAAAUUGCCCAUCUGCCAACGCAAUUAUUGACAGUAUUGAGAAUCUGGAAUUCGAAUGGUGAUAUUACCUGUAUUUCAUAUGCAGCCUCUGUAGAUGCAUUCUUAUGGUAAACGCUGUUUCGCCUGCUUCCCGGACGGCUCAUUUAAACAGUGUAUAUAUUUAUUGAGUAUGUUCAUUUUUGUGUGUGCUAAUGCUCUUUGUUUUGGAUACACUAGUUUAAGUUUAUUCUUUUUUUUGUACUGUAUUCCAUGUUGUAACCACUCCUGCAUGGGCCCGACGAUGGCCUGCAGUAUUGUAAAAUAAAUAAAUAAAUAAGAAUGCAAAAACAA